UCCAGAUCUGGAAGAAUAUGCUCCUCCACUUUCCAUGUAAGUGUUAACAUUCUUAUUACCAAUUCCAAGUUUUUCUAGUUCCUACUCUUGCAGACAUUUUAUUCUGUAAUGGUUCCGAAAACGAAUUUGUGCAAUUAUCCGAUGUUUCAGGACCAUUGCUCACAACUCAUUGAAGCUCGCUUUUACCUUAAAAUAUAUUCUGUAGGACAGUAGUCCACUACCGUCACAAAAUUCCAUGAAUUAAAGUUUGAUAAUAUACAAAGUAGCAAAAUAAUUUGCUAAUUUACGUGAAACUUUGACCCAUGUUAUGGUUAUGGUUAUGGUUAGGAAUUAUAAUCAUAAAAGAUUUUCUCAAACUACUCAGCACACAAGUUCUUUAAUUCUAAAAACUAUUUCGCAUUAUUAUCUCAAUUAGUCAUAAAUUUUUUUAUUUUUUUUUUCCCGGAUUGCAAACUAAAGCUAUUAAUCAACUGAACCUUAUUUAUGAUUAAGUGAAGUAUUCAAAUUAAACUUG
This 514-nucleotide long non-coding RNA is filed under the name Aquilegia coerulea. Its description in RNAcentral is "long non-coding RNA (ACOE_LNC000675)". Lineage: Eukaryota; Viridiplantae; Streptophyta; Magnoliopsida; Ranunculales; Ranunculaceae. The record is from RNAcentral.